Non-coding RNA from Notechis scutatus (mainland tiger snake), 1406 nucleotides. The record is from RefSeq and is a predicted model, not a curated record. Lineage: Eukaryota; Metazoa; Chordata; Lepidosauria; Squamata; Elapidae.
UUAAGUCUGGUGGAUCAGAUGCAGCCUGUUUAUUAAUUGGGAACUUGCUUCCAACAUUCAUGGAACAACCACAUCUUCAAUUAUUGUAAUUUUCUGUGACUUGGCUGUGUGACAAUUUGACUUCCUAUCAACUUUAACAGAUCAGACUAUGGUCCAGUUGUAUUUUUUGUUUUAAAAAAAUUCAAUUGGACUGGCUACUAGCAGCAUUUGAAGAUUUCCAGGUGUGUUAUUCCAUGCUCUUCUUGCUGUUAAGCUUAGUUAAACAGUACUGUAUAUAGAAUUCAAGGCAAUUGCUUAAGCAUUGAGAUUACUGAGAAUUGCAGUAGGGUAAGUUUCUAUAUUUCCCUUUUCCAGAAUCACUACAGGUUGUCCCUUCCUUGGAUUUCCUUCCUUUAUUAUGGCAAGAUUUGAGGUUCCAACCUUGUAUGGCACCCAUUUAAUUGCCAAUUUAAAUAAUUUCAUAGUUUUCAUGAUACUUGUAUGUGAUUUCAGAGGAAAUGUUGAGUUCUUAGGCAUUUUUAUACUAUUUUUGCACUGAAUUUGUAAUGUAUAUACAUUUGUACUGUUUAUACCCUAGAAAAUACUGGGAAGGAACUGACUACAGCUAGUUCUCGACUUAUGACAAUUGAACCCCAAUUUUUUGUUGCUAAGUGAAAUAUUUAAGCGUAUUUUGCCCCAUUUUACAACCUUUUAUGCCAUGGUUAACUGCAGUUGUUAGUAACAUGGUUGUUAAGUGAAUAUCGCUUCCCCUUUGACCCAUGACCCUGGCACACAGCAACCAUCAUAAAUACAAGUCAGUUGUUAAGCAUCUGAUUUCUGAUCACAUGACUAUGUGGAUACUGCAACAAUUGUGUGAAAAAUGGCCAUGUCACUUUUUUCAGUGCCAUUGUAACUUUGAACAGUCACUAAGUGAACUGUUGUAAGUCAAGGACUACCUGAAUAUGCUGCUAUUUGUUUGUAGUGAGAAUUCAGUUUUAAUUGGACACCCGGCCUAAGAUUAAUGGUACUUUCUGCUGUUUAAGGAUUAAAAUUGCUUAAAAUUCUUGAUAACAUUGGAAAGAAUUUGUCCUUGUUUUCCUCCUGGUAAUGUAUGUAUAUAAUGUAUAUGUGUCUUUCUUGGAAGAACCAUAAAAUCAAAUGCCAGAACCUGUAUUAAAACCGUGGCUGAUUAAUGGGUAUUAUAGGUUUCUCACUUUAUCUUUUAAGUUCGAAGACUGAAUAUUUCAAAUGUAUCUGGUACUCAGUCUCCUAAAACUGGAGAGCUCUGCAUUGAGCUAAAACUAAACUCUAAAAAUGCUUGUGUUAAACAUCACACAAAAUGUAGUACUAAUGUUAAAUUCAGCCAAUGAUUGGCAAUUACCCUUUAUCUCAUUGGUGGAAAAAUGUUAAUAUGCAAGAAAGCAGUU